AGAUUGUAAGCUCAGAGGUAGAGCGACAGAUUUAAUGCGGACGGUGGGUUCGAGUCCCAUCACAAUCUA
RNAcentral lists this transfer RNA (69 nucleotides) under Prevotella sp. RNAcentral's name for it is "tRNA-OTHER". It matches the Rfam family "tRNA". Rfam says of the family: Transfer RNA (tRNA) molecules are approximately 80 nucleotides in length. Their secondary structure includes four short double-helical elements and three loops (D, anti-codon, and T loops). Lineage: Bacteria; Pseudomonadati; Bacteroidota; Bacteroidia; Bacteroidales; Prevotellaceae. The record is from RNAcentral. RNAcentral also lists the same sequence under 1 other name.